AUACGGAGGGUGCAAGCGUUAAUCGGAAUUACAGGGCGUAAAGCGCACGUAGGCGGCUUGUUAAGUCAGAUGUGAAAGCCCCGGGCUCAACCUGGGAACUGCAUUUGAUACUGGCAGGCUAGAGUAUGGUAGAGGCAAGUGGAAUUCCGGGUGUAGCGGUGAAAUGCGUAGAUAUCCGGAGGAACACCAGUGGCGAAGGCGACUUGCUGGACCAAUACUGACGCUGAGGUGCGAAGGCGUGGGGAGCAAACAGGAUUAGAAACCCUUGUAGUCC
RNAcentral lists this ribosomal RNA (274 nucleotides) under uncultured bacterium. Its description in RNAcentral is "partial 16S ribosomal RNA". It matches the Rfam family "Bacterial small subunit ribosomal RNA", at positions 523 to 796 of the family's 1533-position model. The record is from RNAcentral.